ACCAGAGGCCGCCCGAGUCCCGGCUCGCUCCCCUCCUUGCGCCCUUCGCCGGGGCGGGCAGCCGGGCGGCCGCCGAGGGACAUCUCGCGGCUACACCCGCAGAGGGAAGUUCUCCCAGGCAGCCGGCGGAGCCGCAGGGGACUACGGAAAGGAGGAUGCAACGAGCCUGGGUCCCUCCGAGCUGAGUAGGGCCCGGAGUGGCCCAGAAGCGCUCGACUCCGAACGCAAAAAAUGCCUCCCGCAAACUUUUCCCGUGGGCGCCGGAGGGCCUGGAGCUGGCGGAGAGGAGGGCGCGAGUCCAGGCGGGGUCGGCCUGAAGGCAGCUGGGGUCUGGGCUUCGAGGGAAGGAACCGCAGCCGAGGCGGUGCCGGCCGCAGAAGGCUGAGAUGCUGUUUCUAACAAACCUCCCGAUGCUGCUGAUGCUGCAUAUCUGAAGACCACACUUUGAGAAGCAAGGAUCUAGGAGUUGUUUGUUAUUCAUGGAAUAAAUAUAUUUCCCAUCAUG
Molecule: long non-coding RNA, 505 nt
Filed under: Homo sapiens (human)
Lineage: Eukaryota; Metazoa; Chordata; Mammalia; Primates; Hominidae
Description: HSALNT0305966
Source: RNAcentral